AAAUUCGAUUUCUGCAGCUCUGGGGACAGGACCUUUUACUCCUGACCAAUCAGUUCCCUUUGCCAAAACCACAGCCGCCUAACCAUUGGCUGGGUUGUUCCAUCAAUCAAAUCUCAGGAAAUAGCUACCCACUUGAACAAGAGAGAAUGAAGUAAAUAAAACCAAAAUGAUCUAUUUGAAGGUGGAGCGGGAGUAAGACCACUAGAAAGCAGCAUGCUGCCAGACCACCACAGGACCCUAGAGAUAUUAAGUCAAUGCUUAUGAACCAGAUAUUGAAUUUGAAUUGCCCAUCUAUAUCAAUGACUCUAAGCAAAUGGCCUCAGCCUGCUGUGACAAGGGCCCGGAUGGUGACAUGCUUCAAGCUGCCUGACUGAAUACGGGGGCCUUCAGCAGAACCUUCCCUUUGAUUACAGCAAGAGUCUCCUUAUUAAGUCUCAUAGCCAUUUAACAUGUACUUUAUGUAACCACUCAAAUUCUCACUUAUACGAAUACAUGAACAGACUUAUAUUCACUUGCCUCUGGCUGUGUUUACAGGCAGCCCAAUUCUGAUAUUUUUUCCACUAAUUGGUCUUUUGACCAAUCCCAGAUCUUUUCACAUUGGUUCAUUUUUCAGAGCUGAUUGAUCAAAAGACUAAUUGGUGGGAGAAAAAAGUGUCAGACUUGGGCUGCCUGUCUAAACACAGCCUAUUUGUCCUAUUCUUCAGGCUUGUCUGGGAUAUAUAUCUUUUAGUUGGCACACCUGUGUGAUAUCUUUUAUAUAUGAAUAAUACUUUUUUCACCCUGGAUAUGAGACUUGCAUUGAUUUUUAGACCUCUUUGAAUCAGAAGUGCAGUCUUGAUGGAUAAAGUCUGCAUGUUGUCAGAUGUUUAAGUAGUAGUUAGUAGUAUAGUAGUUCGUCAAAAUGAGAAGACCAGGCUGAAACAGUCGUGGUUUUGUAAAAAUUAACAUGAGUAGUUUAUACAAAACUUGAUUGCAUUUGGUGGUCAUCCCUCCCCCAAAUUUGACCAUUUUAAAGCCUUGAUAUUUCCCUGAGGAAGGAUGCAACUUUCUGCUGAUACCUACCACCAUGUUGUCAGCUUUUUUGAUGUGCUGCUCUAGUGUAUUCUGCACCAGGAAUCUGUUCCAUGGCCCAGCAGACUCCCCUGGGGAUGGGAGAUGGACAUGUUUAGUUUUUAUAAAAGUCUGGGAGACUUUUUUUAAAGGAAGGCGAGUGCAUUAGUUUGAGUGAGUACAGUAAGAGAGUUGACAUUGACGAUUGAGGGUUAUAAGGGUGCCUUCCAAUCACACAAAUUAUGCGUAAAAGACGGGGGGGCUAGACUUGUGUUGUGCUGUCCGUCAGAAAAGUUCCAAAGACUAUCCAUCAACCAAUUACAUACGUAAAACAGCAUUUUACCUCACCAAACAGAUACGUGUUUCAUGUGUUUAGGUUUGAAGGUAGCCUUACUCUGUGGUUCAAGUUGCAUCUUCAUGUCUAACUUCACUCUCACUCCGUCUGACCCCUAAGCCCUCAUGCCUGACCUCCCAUUGGCCCAGGGCCUCUGGCAAAACCCUCUAAUCAGUCUCUCUGACAGGGAGUUACUCCAGGAGUUGACAGGUUUAUGGUGCAUAAGGUAUCUAUGUGUAUGCAUGCAUGACUUACAUGGGGUGCUCCAUGUUCCUGCUGGUUGUAGGGAAAUAGCAUGCCUUGGAGUAUGGUUGUAUCCAUCUUCACCAGGCUCCUGGAAAUCAUAUGACAAACAUGCAUAGAUUAACAAAAUAAAAUGGCAACUGUAUUUAUGCAGUUGAAAUCAUGACAGCCAUAGGUUCUUUACACAGGAGUGUACAGGAUUUUGUUCCAACACCUCAUUCAACUAAUUGUGGUCUAAAUUGAACAAACACUUGUACACAGUUCAGUCACCUGGCCCAGAAAUCACCCACGUCCGUAUUAUUGAAUGAGCUUCCCAAGUUACAAGUUUAGCUACAAUUCUGCAUGAUAGAAAUAGAUCCACCCAGGUUAUUCUCUAUCUAACCAUGUGAAUAAACCCCCUAAACAAAGAUGAUUAUCCUGGUGGUUAGGAGGUUCCCAAGUUCUUGACAUCUGUCUGGGUGUUAGGGAUGUGCUUCAACCUGAGGAAAAUGGCAGAGAGGGGGAAGACAUUAACCCCACUGCUUACAUUUCAGUGCUGGUUCAAGUUGCUGAGAACCACAUGUACCUUAAGUUUUUCAGUCACCAAAUAAACAAUGAACAGGCAGUGAGGUAGUUUGACAAGUGUUCAAAGUCAGUAACAAGUCUUUAAAAUAUAGCUAGCAUGUUGGCAAGUACCUGGCCAGCAAUCUUCACCUGUCGACGGCAACAGCUUUCACAGGCUCAUCAUAAUGUAAAAAUAACCCCAUUUUAAAACAUUUGAUUUAAACUGACAUUAUUUGUUUCAUAUAAUGUCCAGGACAUAACCUAGCCUGGUGGGUCCAGCCUGAUCUUUUUUACCAUUCUAUUUCACUUCACUUUUGAUGAUAUCUGCAGUGAAGUAGAAAGGUGAACGAAGCGAUCCGGUUGGUUCCACCAGGACCAGGCUAUUUAGAACCACCAUUGAUAAUGUAAUCAGUGCUCUGUGUGUGUGUGACCCACCAGUACCUUUGAGGGGCCAGGAGCUGCUCUAUGCUGCUAUGCCCAUCAAUGGAGCUGUAGAAAAAAACCUCACCUUCAGCCUCACCUUUUGCCUGCUCACCAACAGUUGUCAAUAGGGAGAACAGAAUUAGAAACAUGUAUGGAGGCAGCACAUGGAGACUUGCAAGAUGAUGUGAAGUCCAGACUGACAGGCGGGCUUGAUACUGAUGUCUCUGAAUGGAGAAAGACCUGGCACUCGGCAGUAACAUUUUACAAGACAACUUUUACCAUUUAAUUCAAUAAAAAAAAAUAAAGGAUCAGACAAGAUGUGGAGGGAGAAACCCUGUGUAUUCUGCACCAGGAUCAGGGAACUGCUGUUGUGAACAGGACACCACACAGGAAUUAUUAUAUAUUAUAAUAUUAUGUGAAGUGUUGUUUAUUCUACACGGACCUGUGACUACAUCUGAAAGUUAGCAAAACACUUAGUUCAGAAUAUAUACAUACAUUUAGCAAUUACAUUCAUCUCAUGUUACUCUUCAGGCUGCUGAUCUAUUCAAAGCUUCUCUAUAUCUGCCUGUAGUUAUUGAGCUCAACCUGCAGGAGGUUUGUUUGUUGUAACUGAGUGGGGGAAACAGUUGUGGGCAAGGUUCUGACAGAUGGGUGUGUUUUGGUGGUGGCAAGGACAAACAAACACUCAUCAAACCACCAACUCAGGUUUGGCUUCUGUCAUGGCCACCAGCAUUUCUUGAGGAGCAAGCAUCACACAAUCUCAGUGCAUACAGUUGAUUUUAUUAAAACAUUAUGUAUUAAAAAAAUACAUGUCUACCAAUCGAUUGUCAAAAGAACAGACGACUCGGUCGACUAACUUUAUUUUAUUUUUUUUAGUCGAGGACAGCCCUAAAUUUUAUAAACUGCAAUCAUUUUCUCAUUACAGUUGUCUUGGGGGGAAAAAUGAAGUAGUUGAAUGGAAGUAAUAUACAUCAUAUAGCCUACACAAUAUGUAACAGACUUUUUAGGUGU
Oncorhynchus masou masou (cherry salmon) is the source of this 3604-nucleotide long non-coding RNA. RefSeq lists it as uncharacterized. Lineage: Eukaryota; Metazoa; Chordata; Actinopteri; Salmoniformes; Salmonidae. The transcript is spliced from 4 exons. The record is from RefSeq and is a predicted model, not a curated record.